UGGGGAGUACCCACGCAAGUGUGAAACUCAAAGGAAUUGACGGGGGCCCGCACGAGCGGUGGAGUAUGUGGUUUAAUUCGAUGCAACGUGAAGAACCUUACCAAGACCUGACAUGUCGCGAAUCCUUAUGAAAGGAAGGAGUGCCUUAGGGAGCGCGAACACAGGUGGUGCAAGGCUGUCGUCAGCUUGUGUCGUGAGAUGUUGGGUUAAGUCCCGCAAAGAGCGCCACCCUUGUCUUUAGUUGCCAGCAUUAAGUUGGGCACUAUAGAGAGACUUCCGGUGACAAACCGGAGGAAGGUGGGGAGGAAGUCAAGUCAGCAUGCCCCUUAUGUCGUGGGCUACACCCGUAGUACAACGCUACGGACAAAGGGCAGCUCCACAGCGAUGUGAGGCAAAUCUCAGAAACAAUAGCUCAGUUCAGAUCGAAGGUCGCAACUCGCGUUCGUGAAGGAGGAAUCGCUAGUAAAUGCAGGUCAGCAUACGGCAGUGAAUUCGUUCCCGGGCCUUGUACCCACCCCCCGUCACCCCAUGGAAGCUGGUCACGCCCGUAAGUCGAUUA
Molecule: ribosomal RNA, 559 nt
Filed under: Nostoc sp. F4
Lineage: Bacteria; Bacillati; Cyanobacteriota; Cyanophyceae; Nostocales; Nostocaceae
Description: bacterial SSU rRNA
Rfam family: Bacterial small subunit ribosomal RNA
Source: RNAcentral